Molecule: ribosomal RNA, 442 nt
Filed under: uncultured bacterium
Lineage: Bacteria
Description: partial 16S ribosomal RNA
Rfam family: Bacterial small subunit ribosomal RNA
Source: RNAcentral
CCUACGGGAGGCAGCAGUGGGGAAUAUUGGGCAAUGGGCGGAAGCCUGACCCAGCAACGCCGCGUGAGGGAAGAAGGCCCUCGGGUUGUAAACUUCUUUUCUAUAGGACGAAGUAGUGACGUUACUAUAGGAAUAAGCCACGGCGAACUACGUGCCAGCAGCCGCGGUAAUACGUAGGUGGCGAGCGUUAUCCGGAUGUACGGGGUGUAAAGUGCGUGUGGGCGGGAGAGCAAGUCAGAUGUGAAAACUACAGGCUUAACCUGUAGACUGCUUUUGAAACUGUUCUUCUUGAGUGUUGGAGAGGCAGGCGGAAUUCCUAGUGUAGCGGUGAAAUGCGUAGAUAUUAGGAGGAACACCAGUGGCGAAGGCGGCUUGCUGGACUGUAACUGACGCUGAGGCGCGAAAGCGUGGGGAGCAAACAGGAUUAGAUACCCGUGUAGUC